RNAcentral lists this ribosomal RNA (382 nucleotides) under Klebsiella pneumoniae. Its description in RNAcentral is "bacterial SSU rRNA". It matches the Rfam family "Bacterial small subunit ribosomal RNA", at positions 872 to 1254 of the family's 1533-position model. Lineage: Bacteria; Pseudomonadati; Pseudomonadota; Gammaproteobacteria; Enterobacterales; Enterobacteriaceae. The record is from RNAcentral. RNAcentral also lists the same sequence under 1 other name.
CCUGGGGAGUACGGCCGCAAGGUUAAAACUCAAAUGAAUUGACGGGGGCCCGCACAAGCGGUGGAGCAUGUGGUUUAAUUCGAUGCAACGCGAAGAACCUUACCUGGUCUUGACAUCCACAGAACUUAGCAGAGAUGCUUUGGUGCCUUCGGGAACUGUGAGACAGGUGCUGCAUGGCUGUCGUCAGCUCGUGUUGUGAAAUGUUGGGUUAAGUCCCGCAACGAGCGCAACCCUUAUCCUUUGUUGCCAGCGGUUCGGCCGGGAACUCAAAGGAGACUGCCAGUGAUAAACUGGAGGAAGGUGGGGAUGACGUCAAGUCAUCAUGGCCCUUACGACCAGGGCUACACACGUGCUACAAUGGCAUAUACAAAGAGAAGCGACC